CCUACGGGGGGCUGCAGUAGGGAAUAUUGGGCAAUGGACGAAAGUCUGACCCAGCCAUGCCGCGUGCAGGAUGACUGCCCUAUGGGUUGUAAACUGCUUUUCUAUGGGAAGAAACACUCAUACGUGUAUGAACUUGACGGUACCAUAGGAAUAAGGAUCGGCUAACUCCGUGCCAGCAGCCGCGGUAAUACGGAGGAUCCAAGCGUCGUCGGGAUUAAAGGGGUCUAAAGGGUGCGAAGAAGUCAGAGGUGAAAUCUUGCGGCUCAACCGUAAAAUUGCCUUUGAAACUGGUAGUCUUGAGUUCGGUCGAGGUGGAUGGAAUGUGUCAUGUAGCGGUGAAAUGCUUAGAUAUGACCCAGAACACCAAUUGCGAAGGCAGUUCACUAGACCGAUACUGACGCUGAGGCACGAAAGCGUGGGGAGCGAACAGGAUUAGAUACCCCAGUAGUC
Molecule: ribosomal RNA, 450 nt
Filed under: uncultured bacterium
Lineage: Bacteria
Description: partial 16S ribosomal RNA
Rfam family: Bacterial small subunit ribosomal RNA
Source: RNAcentral